CAGGUGUGAUGAUGCUAAGAAAGGUUUCGCAUACUGGACUGAAGUCCUGUGAUGUCACUUCCUCUUGGCUGUCUGACCAG
RNAcentral lists this small nucleolar RNA (80 nucleotides) under Mastacembelus armatus (zig-zag eel). Its description in RNAcentral is "Small nucleolar RNA SNORD53/SNORD92 (ENSMAMG00000024793.1)". It matches the Rfam family "Small nucleolar RNA SNORD53/SNORD92". From Rfam's summary of the family: U53 is a member of the C/D class of snoRNA which contain the C (UGAUGA) and D (CUGA) box motifs. The record is from Rfam by way of RNAcentral. Lineage: Eukaryota; Metazoa; Chordata; Actinopteri; Synbranchiformes; Mastacembelidae.